GUGUCAGCAGCCGCGGUAAUACCAGCUCUCCGAGUGGUGGGGAUGAUUAUUGGGCCUAAAGCAUCCGUAGCCGGCUGGACAAGUCCCCUGUUAAAUCCAACGAUCCAAUCGUUGGUCUGCGGGGGAUACUGUCCGGCUUGGGGGCGGGAGAGGCCGCCGGUAUUUCCGGGGUAGGGGUGAAAUCCUAUAAUCCCGGGAGGACCACCAGUGGCGAAGGCUGUCGGCUAGAACGCGCCCGACGGUGAGGGAUGAAAGCUGGGGGAGCGAACCGGAUUAGAUACCCGGGUAGUCCCAGCUGUAAACGAUGCAGGCUAGGUGUUAGGGCGGCUACGUGCCGCUCUAGUGCCGCAGGGAAGCCGUUAAGCCUGCCGCCUGGGGAGUACGGUCGCAAGGCUGAAACUCAAAUGAAUUGACGGGA
RNAcentral lists this ribosomal RNA (418 nucleotides) under uncultured prokaryote. RNAcentral's name for it is "bacterial SSU rRNA". It matches the Rfam family "Archaeal small subunit ribosomal RNA", at positions 455 to 873 of the family's 1478-position model. The record is from RNAcentral.